CCAUGCAUGUCUAAGUACAAACUAUAUUAAAGUGAAACCGCGAAAGGCUCAUUAAAUCAGUUAUGGUUCCUUAGAUCGUACCACAAUUACUUGGAUAACUGUGGUAAUUCUAGAGCUAAUACAUGCAAACAGAGCUCUAACCGGAGACGGAAGGAGUGCUUUUAUUAGAUCAAAACCAAUCGGCGUCGGUAGCAUUUCGGUGUUAUCGUUCGUCGCUCAAUAUAUGGUGAAUCUGAAUAACUUUAUGCUGAUCGCAUGGUCUUGUACCGGCGACGCAUCUUUCAAAUGUCUGCCUUAUCAACUGUCGAUGGUAGGAUCUGCGCCUACCAUGGUUGUAACGGGUAACGGGGAAUCAGGGUUCGAUUCCGGAGAGGGAGCCUGAGAAACGGCUACCACAUCCAAGGAAGGCAGCAGGCGCGCAAAUUACCCACUCCCGGCACGGGGAGGUAGUGACGAAAAAUAACGAUACGGGACUCAUCCGAGGCCCCGUAAUCGGAAUGAGUACACUUUAAAUCCUUUAACAAGGACCAAUUGGAGGGCAAGUCUGGUGCCAGCAGCC
This 559-nucleotide ribosomal RNA is filed under the name Licinus punctatulus granulatus. Its description in RNAcentral is "SSU rRNA". It matches the Rfam family "Eukaryotic small subunit ribosomal RNA", at positions 49 to 575 of the family's 1831-position model. Lineage: Eukaryota; Metazoa; Arthropoda; Insecta; Coleoptera; Carabidae. The record is from RNAcentral.